GUUAAUUAGAGAGUCCUUCAAAGGCUUGAACUUCACUUUAAGAGAAGGGUGAGGAGACUGAACACCCAAGCAAACAAUUUGUUCAUAUUUCAGUUUAUUAAGUCGAAAGAAAAUCAUAUGAAUCAAAUGUGCCAUUGGUGUCGGGUUUUGAUGUUCUCCCCGACUGCCAGUCAUAUACAGUGCAUUCUAUGUGCUCUAUUGGUAACUUGUCUUCAGGUGAAAACGUUGCUUAGUAACCUUGAAAGGGUGAAAUUGAAGACAAAUGUUUAGAAAGACGAACAGUGGUUAAGCUAAUAGGGUCAGAAUUCUUUUCCACAAUUUUCAGAACCUGAAAUCAGAGAUCAAUGGCUACUUUACAGCUCAGUUAAAUAAUUUACACUCAGCAGUUUCUCCUGGUUUUAAGGAGGAAAGGUGAUAUACUGAGAAACAAGUUUAUGGAGGUCCUACUACUUCAAUGGACCAGAAAGCACUCACAUGAUCAGCAGUUGCUAACAUAAUGUCCACAAGGCUUGUUGGAUACAAGUCCAGUUGGUCCUCUUCACAGAAGGCUUGGCUAAGGCUGAUAAACAUCUGGAAGACCAGCAGUAACCAAGCAACAUAGUUAGAUUUAGUGACUGAUUCAGGAACAUAGAAAAGUGUUUUUACUGAAUCUGAAUAUUGGACAAAAAAGCUCAGUUUUUUCUACAGUAAUUCCCCAGCGUACACACACUCAAGAAUUUCACACAGGGCUCUUCGUAGUCCUCCUUGGAGGUACCAGGGACACAGGGAGACUUUGAAUGCUAAGGUGAUGUUGUGCCACAGAGCAGUGAGCCUCUUCCUAAAGGUCUGUUUUUGCCCCUUUAGAUGAUGGGGAGCAGAAACUGAAGCAUCUUCCAAUGCGAAUGUUCCAGCAGCAGUUUCACAGCCCUGAAAAUGGGCGAGGCUCUGAGGAGGAAACAGUUAAACCGACAGCAGUGGAGGGAGAAAGUUCAAAACGACAGCCCCACUAUCUCCAGGAAGGCUCUCCGGAAAAUUACUUUACCCUGAAUGCAGGACCUUCCAACUUCUCACGCCAAAGUCUGGAGGAAGUAAACAGGACUGGAUGUGAUGUAGACAGAAGCCACUGCAGAGAAGAAAGAGAAUCUGACCUCCAGAGAAGAAUUAGCACGGCCGAUGCUCUAGAAGAAAAUUCUAAUGAUGAAUGGACUGGCAAGGACCUGAAUGAAGUUUGUGAGAAACUGGGAGAAGCGACUCUCCUGUCCAAGGGAUCCAAACUAGAACUUUGCAGAGUCUGGUUCUCUAUGCCCACCUACUACUGGGUUUUGCUCUGGCUGUUUUUUCUGGGAAUUGCUUGCCUUAUAGUUAUCCGGAUCCUGGAGGUGCAGAAACAAUAUCCACUUGCAGCCUCUGAAUUUUAGUCUGCAAAGCAGCAGAAUAACUCUACACAGGAACAGUGCAUCAUGAAAAUCUCAAGGCAGCCUACGUAGGAAAAAUAAAAAUAAGAAAGAGAUGGUGUGUGUGUGUAUA
This 1506-nucleotide long non-coding RNA is filed under the name Salvator merianae (Argentine black and white tegu). Its description in RNAcentral is "lncRNA (ENSSMRG00000020987.1)". The record is from RNAcentral. Lineage: Eukaryota; Metazoa; Chordata; Lepidosauria; Squamata; Teiidae.